CUCCGUAAAUCCUUCGCCGAAAUCGAGCCCAUCAUUCGCUCGCUGCACAAAAAGCUCGGCCCUAUGGUCACUCUCCACAUCGGUUCUAACCCCACCAUUUUCAUCGCCGAUCGCUCCCUAGCCCACCAAGCGUUGGUCCAGAGUGGUGCAGUUUUUGCUAAUCGUCCACAGGCUCCUGCUACUAAUAAAAUUUCCACUAACAAUCAGCAUAAUAUCAACUCGUCCUUCUACGGCCCUACUUGGCGCCUCCUCCGCCGGAAUCUUACCUCAGAAAUCCUCCAUCCUUCAAGGGUCAAGUCAUACAAUCAUGCUCGCAAGUGGGUUCUGCAAAUUCUCGUCAACCGGUUUGAAUCGCAGUCGAAAUCUGGAGAUCCUGUUCGCGUUAUGGAUAAUUUUCGGUACGCCAUGUUUUGCCUGUUAGUCCUCAUGUGUUUCGGCGACAAGCUCGAUCAGAAACAAAUUGAAGAAAUUGAGAGAGUAGAACGUUCUGCCAUUUUGAAUGCUGUGAAAUUCAAUAUACUCAAUUUCAUGCCAAGAUUGACCAAGAUAGUGUUUCGUAAACGUUGGUCACGGUUUUUGCAGCUUCAAAAGGAUCGACAAGAAGUAUUGAUUCCAUUGAUAAGAGCAAGAAAGAAGGCCAGUGAAGAGAGACAGAGCAAGUUAAAUGACAAAAAAGAUGACUAUGUCUUAUCGUA
Molecule: unclassified non-coding RNA, 695 nt
Filed under: Hevea brasiliensis (rubber tree)
Lineage: Eukaryota; Viridiplantae; Streptophyta; Magnoliopsida; Malpighiales; Euphorbiaceae
Source: RNAcentral